Molecule: ribosomal RNA, 425 nt
Filed under: uncultured prokaryote
Description: bacterial SSU rRNA
Rfam family: Bacterial small subunit ribosomal RNA
Source: RNAcentral
UAGGGAAUAUUGGGCAAUGGGCGAAAGCCUGACCCAGCAAUGCCGCGUGCAGGACGAAGUCCUUCGGGAUGUAAACUGCUGUCAGGGGUCCGCAAGCGAAGGGGUCCAACAGGCCCUGGGGUUGAGCAGCCCCAGAGGAAGCCUCGACUAACUCUGUGCCAGCAGUCGCGGUAAGACAGAGGAGGCAAGCGUUGUUCGGAAUCACUGGGCUUAAAGCGCGUGUAGGCGGCUUAGAAAGUGUCGUGUGAAAUCCCGCGGCUCAACCGCGGAACUGCGCGGCAAACUACUUGGCUUGAGGUCGGUAGAGGUGCCUGGAACUCUAGGUGGAGCGGUGAAGUGCGUAGAUAUCUAGAGGAACGCCAGAAGCGAAAGCGGGGCACUGGGCCGAUUCUGACGCUGAGACGCGAAAGCGUGGGGAGCAAACA